Molecule: long non-coding RNA, 800 nt
Organism: Nerophis ophidion (straightnose pipefish)
Lineage: Eukaryota; Metazoa; Chordata; Actinopteri; Syngnathiformes; Syngnathidae
Exons: 3
Source: RefSeq, a predicted model, not a curated record
AGCCAUUUUAGGCAUCCUUAUUUUUGUGUUGGCAUUACUUUCUUUUGUCACUAGGUGGCGGGCUUUUUGAUUGAGCAGUGCAGGGUUGAAGGCAUAAAUAGAAGCACAGGUGAGCUGAUAAGGGAGGACUCAGGUGUGGGAGCACAAACCGUUCUUACCACCACAACAGCAGACAACAACAGCAGACAACAACAGGCAGGAAAGACAGGAGAACAUAUGGCACCAUGUCACUACAAUAAUCCAUGAGAUGGUCAGAGCUGCUCAGAAGAUCGUGUGGAGCAGCCUCCUGCACCAUCACCACACACAUUCUUGUCAGCAGAUGCAGGAAGAAGGUUUCCAACAACACUGCACAACCUCUCUUUGAUCCUGUCCACAUGGAACACCACCAGACUGAGGACCAACUUCUUUCAGAUAGGAGGAGUUUCCAGGAGCCUUGUGAUGAGGUGGCGACGUGUCCAGGGUGUACACCGUCCUCCGCCCGAUUGUAGCUGAUAUAGGUACCAGCGCCCCCACAACCACAAAAGGAAUAAGCGGUAGAAAAUUAAUGGAUGGAGUUUCCAGGAUGGGGGCAGGGGAGGCCGUUGUUUUCUGAGCCGCAUGCGACUGAGAUGAAUCAUCAAACAGCUUGGUAUUUCUCAGUAUUCUGUACAUCCAUGCAUACAUUAACAUGUCACAGAAUAGAAUGUAGAGGAUGAGACUGGAUCUCAUGAAUUUGUGCCUUGUAUGCUUGCUAAUCCCAUUUGGUUAAAAACAACACAUUGUUCUCUAUCUCUUAAGACUUGAAAAACGUAUAAAUAUUG